AGAGUGAACGCUGGCGGCAGGCCUAACACAUGCAAGUCGAACGGCAGCACAGGGGAGCUUGCUCCCUGGGUGGCGAGUGGCGGACGGGUGAGGAAUACAUCGGAAUCUACCCAGUCGUGGGGGAUAACCUCGGGAAACCGGGACUAAUACCGCAUACGACCCACGGGUGAAAGCGGAGGACCGCAAGGCUUCGCGCGAUUGGAUGAGCCGAUGUCGGAUUAGCUUGUGCGGGGUAAUGGCCCACCAAGGCGACGAUCCGUAGCUGGUCUGAGAGGAUGAUCAGCCACACUGGAACUGAGACACGGUCCAGACUCCUACGGGAGCAGCAGUGGGGAAUAUUGGACAAGUGGGCGCAAGCCCUGAUCCAGCCAUGCCGCGUGAGUGAAGAAGGCCCCUCGGGUUAGUAAAGCUUCUUUUGUUAGGGAAGAAAAAGCAAAGUCGGUUAAUACCCGGUUGUACUGACGUACCAAAGAAUAAGCACGCUAACUCUGCAGACAGCCGCGUAAC
This 507-nucleotide ribosomal RNA is filed under the name uncultured soil bacterium. RNAcentral's name for it is "bacterial SSU rRNA". It matches the Rfam family "Bacterial small subunit ribosomal RNA", at positions 26 to 524 of the family's 1533-position model. The record is from RNAcentral.